UUGGGAAAAGAAAACCCUCCGUACGUACUCUUCUUCCUCGAUCAAUUUUUUUCCCGAUUCGAGCAAAAUGUGUGCAGACAAUCCGCUUCGGUAUCCGUGGAAGCAUCAAAUUUGUUCAUCGAUUAUCUCCUUCAGUUGCUUAAUCACGGCUGCGAGAUGGAUGGAGUAAUUGAGCUGGUCGCUGAUGCCAUAUGCUCGUGUUUUGGUAGCUGCGUGGACAUCUGCGUGAUCACAAAGUUGCCCAGAUUUUUAUAUUGUGGAAGUUGAAACUGAGCUGGUCGCUGAUGCCAUAUGUUCGUGUUUUGGUAGCUGCGUGGACAUCUGCGUGAUCACAAAGGUUUGUCUUCACCCUGCUUUGAUUGAUUAUCUACAAAACUCAUAGAGAUUAUCUGUAUAAGAGAAAAAGGUCUUAAUCUCCGGGAACAACCAUCGUUGGUUUGCUUGUUUUCUCUCUUAGUUUCUCGUUUAUUACAGAUGUCCGUAGAAUUGGAUUAGUCAAGAAGUUGAGGCCUAAGACUCACCCCUUUCAGCAUUGCAGGGAUAGCGCUACUUAAUGUGAUUGUUUAUAUUUGUAUCCUGUAAAAAAAUUAUUGGGUCUUUGUUCACAAGCAUUUUCCUUUUCACAUGGUGGUGCGUAUGAUCAGCUCUCCGCCUCUCCAUAUAGUUUAGAGUACAUCAUUCAAACGUGUAAAGAUGUGUAUGUUCUUGUGCUCUCACUGUGGAAGCUAUAUAAGACUGAUUUCAAUACUAUGGGCGGAUACCCGAGUAGUUGAGGCUAGAGGCCAAUUGGUGCUGACAAAAAUCGUGAGAAGAUUCACUAUAUGGCACCAAACAUAUAUUGCUGUGGUGCAGGAACCACUGCUGACACUGAAGCAGUAACUGGUAUUUUGUUUCUAACUUUAGUGUGGCAGAUUUUGUUUUCUUGGUUAAGGACAUAUCAGGAUCUAAUUGACUUGAUGUGUCGCUCUACAGAACUUAACGCUUUAGUUGUCUUUUUUUUGGUCUCACUGUCCAGAUAUGGUCAAAGCAUUAAAGGAUGCAAAAGAAUGGCAAAAUGCCCAGCUUGCACUCCCUCCAACACCCCAGAUUGGUGUGUUGUUUCAGGUGCAUUACGAGCUGGUGUGAAGCACUUCCUGCUAAACUCAGAUUGCCUACAACUUGUUCAAGCAAUAAACUCCACAGCUUUACUCGCAGAAGUUCAUAGAGUCUUAUCUGAUGUAUUCCUUAGCAUUUUGAAUUUUUCUACCUCGUCGUUUCUUUCCCAGAUCAGCUAAUGUAUUGGCUGCUAAUCUGGCAAAACUGGCUUUAAACUUGUAUGCCCAAACAAU
Arabidopsis lyrata subsp. lyrata is the source of this 1328-nucleotide long non-coding RNA. RefSeq lists it as uncharacterized. Lineage: Eukaryota; Viridiplantae; Streptophyta; Magnoliopsida; Brassicales; Brassicaceae. The transcript has 3 exons. The record is from RefSeq and is a predicted model, not a curated record.